GUGAGGAAUAUUGGUCAAUGGGCGCAAGCCUGAACCAGCCAUGCCGCGUGCAGGAAGACGGUCCUAUGGAUUGUAAACUGCUUUUAUUUGGGAAUAAACUCCGGUACGUGUACCGGCCUGAAGGUACCAAAUGAAUAAGCACCGGCUAACUCCGUGCCAGCAGCCGCGGUAAUACGGAGGGUGCAAGCGUUAUCCGGAAUCAUUGGGUUUAAAGGGUCCGCAGGCGGUCUUAUAAGUCAGUGGUGAAAGCCUACAGCUCAACUGUAGAACUGCCAUUGCUACUGUAGGACUUGAAUUCGAUCGAAGUGGACGGAAUGUGACAUGUAGCGGUGAAAUGCUUAGAUAUGUCACAGAACACCGAUAGCGAAGGCAGCUCACUAGGUCUGGAUUGACGCUCAGGGACGAAAGCGUGGGGAGCAAACAGGAUUAGAUACCCGGGUAGUCC
Molecule: ribosomal RNA, 445 nt
Filed under: uncultured bacterium
Lineage: Bacteria
Description: partial 16S ribosomal RNA
Rfam family: Bacterial small subunit ribosomal RNA
Source: RNAcentral